Molecule: ribosomal RNA, 253 nt
Filed under: uncultured bacterium
Lineage: Bacteria
Description: partial 16S ribosomal RNA
Rfam family: Bacterial small subunit ribosomal RNA
Source: RNAcentral
UACAGAGGGGGCAAGCGUUAUUCGGAAUUAUUGGGCGUAAAGGGCGCGUAGGCGGCUUGGCAAGUGGAUGGUGAAAUCCCUCGGCUUAACCGAGGAACUGCCGUCCAAACUGCUUCGCUUGAGACCGGGAGAGGUGAGUGGAAUUCCCAGUGUAGCGGUGAAAUGCGUAGAUAUUGGGAGGAACACCAGUGGCGAAGGCGGCUCACUGGACCGGUACUGACGCUGAGGAGCGAAAGCAUGGGGAGCGAACAGG